Molecule: long non-coding RNA, 399 nt
Organism: Ictalurus punctatus (channel catfish)
Lineage: Eukaryota; Metazoa; Chordata; Actinopteri; Siluriformes; Ictaluridae
Source: Ensembl
GUGGCGAGCCAACCGUGUUUGUGACUCUGACUUUAGACAGACUGCCAGGAUCAUCUUCUUCAUCUUCAUGGUGCUGUGCAGCAUCCUUUUCUCCUACCAUCCUUCCAUGAUGCUGGCCUAGACCUGAACACAUGCUAUCAAUUAGCACACCUUUCUGCUGAUCUGACUCUGUUGGCUGAAUCCCUUGCUGCUGACCCUGGUGUUUAUGGUUUCCCUCCACCUCUACACUACAGGAUUGUUCCUGCUACGGUUUGCAUGGAUGCUUCCACUCAAACAGAGACUUCUUCUGUUGUUUCCUCUGUGAAUAAUUUUGAGCUUACUGAUGAGGACAUGGCUUUCUCUGGGGCUGACCCUGACUUUAACCCUACUUCAGAUUCUCUCAGUCCUACUCCGUCCUCA